RNAcentral lists this ribosomal RNA (505 nucleotides) under uncultured Desulfobulbus sp. RNAcentral describes it as "bacterial SSU rRNA". It matches the Rfam family "Bacterial small subunit ribosomal RNA", at positions 880 to 1382 of the family's 1533-position model. The record is from RNAcentral. Lineage: Bacteria; Pseudomonadati; Thermodesulfobacteriota; Desulfobulbia; Desulfobulbales; Desulfobulbaceae.
UUGCCAGCCCGCUCAGAAACUCAAAGGAAUUGACGGGGCCGCACAAGCGGUGGAGUAUGUGGUUUAAUUCGAUGCAACGCGAAGAACCUUACCUGGUCUUGACAUCCCGGAGACCCUUAGGAAACUAGGGGGUGCUUCCAUCUGGAAGAAUCUGGAGACAGGUGCUGCAUGGCUGUCGUCAGCUCGUGUCGUGAGAUGUUGGGUUAAGUCCCGCAACGAGCGCAACCCUUGCCUUUAGUUGCCAGCAGUUCGGCUGGGCACUCUAAAGGGACUGCCGGUGUUAAACCGGAGGAAGGUGGGGAUGACGUCAAGUCCUCAUGGCCUUUAUGACCAGGGCUACACACGUACUACAAUGGCCGAUACAAGGGGCAGCGACACUGCGAGGUGAAGCCAAUCCCGUAAAAUCGGUCUCAGUCCGGAUUGGAGUCUGCAACUCGACUCCAUGAAGUUGGAAUCGCUAGUAAUCGUGGAUCAGCAUGCCACGGUGAAUACGUUCCCGGGCCUU